RNAcentral lists this ribosomal RNA (21 nucleotides) under Symbiodinium sp. C79. RNAcentral describes it as "partial 28S ribosomal RNA". The record is from RNAcentral. Lineage: Eukaryota; Dinophyceae; Suessiales; Symbiodiniaceae.
AGCAUGAAGUCGGACAAGUGA